GCAGUAUUUUUAAACGUCUUCUGCGGUUAGAGAUUAUAAUUUUUGGUUUAAAACUGAAAGAGAAACAGGAUAAUAAGGGACACUAGGAUAAUAAUAUUACAAUACUUAAUUCUAAUGACUGCUCGAAAAAAUGGUCACUUGGCCGGGUGAUAUUUUAAAAUUCCAGUCACAGGUAUUCAGCAGAAAUUAGAGACACAGAAAUUGCACGAUCUCAAAACAAGGGUAUCAU
This is a non-coding RNA of Cinara cedri, 229 nucleotides long. The record is from the annotation of a GenBank genome assembly. Lineage: Eukaryota; Metazoa; Arthropoda; Insecta; Hemiptera; Aphididae.